AUGAAGAACGCAGUGAAAUGCGAUACGUAAUGUGAAUUGCAGAAUUCAGUGAAUCAUCGAAUCUUUGAACGCAUAUUGCGCUCUCUGGUAUUCCGGAGAGCAUGCUUGUUUGAGUAUCAGUAAACACCUCAACUUCCAUAUCUUUUUUGAAAUGGGAGUUGGACUUGAGUGAUCCCAACGCUUUUCCUCACCGAAAAGUGGCGGGUUACUUGAAAUGCAGGUGCAGCUGGACUUUUCUCUGAGCUAUAAGCAUAUCUAUUUAGUCUGCCUAAAAAACAGAUUAUUACCUUUGCUGCAGCUAACAUAAAGGAGAUUAGUUCUUGUGCUGACUGAUGCAGGAUUCACAAAGACAGGCUUCGGCCGACUUUGUAAACUCGAUCUCAAAUCAAGUAAGACUACCCGCUGAACUUAAGCAUAUCAAUAAGCGGAGGA
This 432-nucleotide unclassified non-coding RNA is filed under the name soil metagenome. Its description in RNAcentral is "partial contains 5.8S ribosomal RNA, internal transcribed spacer 2, and large subunit ribosomal RNA". The stretch from base 1 to 119 matches the Rfam family "5.8S ribosomal RNA", at positions 36 to 154 of the family's 154-position model. The record is from RNAcentral.